This is a long non-coding RNA of Diospyros lotus (date-plum), 864 nucleotides long. RefSeq lists it as uncharacterized. The record is from RefSeq and is a predicted model, not a curated record. NCBI's taxonomy places the organism in Eukaryota, Viridiplantae, Streptophyta, Magnoliopsida, Ericales, Ebenaceae. The transcript is spliced from 2 exons.
CAGGUUGAGAGAAUUGGAGAUUGCUCUGUAGCAGCUGAAGCCGGGCCCUAGAGUCUAGUCCUCUCUGUCUGCUCCAACGUUGCAGGCGCCACUGUUCAAACUAUUGAAACAGAAGACAGGGAACAUGUUCAGCAGCCAGCUGAAGGAGAUGGAGAAAGGCGAGAAGCCAAUGCCUUGGACCAAGGAGGCAGUUUGGUGGAUGAGGACAAUGACAAUAGCACUGGUUAUGAUAAUUUUGAAAGCCAGAUGCAGCUUGACAAUGCUCGCCUCCAAUCUCCUCCAUCUGCAUCUUGCUCCAUACCAGCAACCAAUAAUCUCCUGACUGCAACGCGCAAACCUCUAUAUGGAUGGAUUGGCAGUGACGAAGAGGAAGAUUUCAUAGAAUUAACCCCGGCUCUAAGGAAAGUAUCAUUCAAGUCGGCAGGAAGGGUGGUUGUUAACGGGAGCCGAACUGGGAGUGACAAGCAGCAGCUCAAGAGCAAAUCAAGGUGGGAUGUGAGGCCUAAAGAUACGUAACCUUCCUUUUUGACUCUCCUCUCUAGUGUAUGCGUCAGCUGGAUAAAGGGAACCCUUGCAUUUGUGGAUUACAGGUUUCUAUUUUGAGGGGGGUAGUAGGAAAUAUGUCGUUCCCAUUUACAAGGAAAUUGAUAACAUUGUAAGCUCCCCUGCCCUAGGUAAAGAAGUUAAAAAGGUUUUAUUAGCGUUCCGUGGGGGGCUGUUGCAUCAGUCAUGGUCUAGUGUCCAUGCUAACUCGCUUUUAGGCAAUUCUAAAAGCACAGGUGACCUUGUUUGUAGGGCAGUGAUAUUUGAUUUUACAAAGUAGUUUGAAGUGGUAAUUCUAUUACUAUGUCCUUAAAACAUUAA